Molecule: ribosomal RNA, 231 nt
Filed under: uncultured Eubacteriales bacterium
Lineage: Bacteria; Bacillati; Bacillota; Clostridia; Eubacteriales
Description: uncultured Clostridiales bacterium partial 16S ribosomal RNA
Rfam family: Bacterial small subunit ribosomal RNA
Source: RNAcentral
CGGGUGAGUAACGCGUGAGCAACCUGCCUAUGACAGUGGGAUAGCCUCGGGAAACCGGGAUUAAUACCGCAUAAAAUCGUAGAAACACAUGUUCUAACGGUCAAAGAUUUAUCGGUCAUAGAUGGGCUCGCGUCUGAUUAGCUAGUUGGUGAGAUAACAGCCCACCAAGGCGACGAUCAGUAGCCGGUCUGAGAGGAUGAACGGCCACAUUGGAACUGAGACACGGUCCAA